Molecule: ribosomal RNA, 620 nt
Filed under: uncultured Thelephoraceae
Lineage: Eukaryota; Fungi; Basidiomycota; Agaricomycetes; Thelephorales; Thelephoraceae
Description: eukaryotic LSU rRNA
Rfam family: Eukaryotic large subunit ribosomal RNA
Source: RNAcentral
GAGGAAAAGAAACUAACAAGGAUUCCCCUAGUAACUGCGAGUGAAGCGGGAAGAGCUCAAAUUUAAAAUCUGGCGUCCUCUGGUCGUCCGAGUUGUAGUCUGGAGAAGCGUUUUCCGUGUUGGACCGUGUAUAAGUCUCUUGGAACAGGGCGUCAUAGAGGGUGAGAAUCCCGUCUUUGACACGGACUACCAAUGCUAUGUGAUGCGCUCUCAAAGAGUCGAGUUGUUUGGGAAUGCAGCUCAAAAUGGGUGGUAAAUUCCAUCUAAAGCUAAAUAUAGGCGAGAGACCGAUAGCGAACAAGUACCGUGAGGGAAAGAUGAAAAGCACUUUGGAAGGAGAGUUAAACAGUACGUGAAAUUGCUGAAAGGGAAACGCUUGAAGUCAGUCGUGUCUGCCAGGACUCAGCCUUGCUUCUGCUCGGUGUACUUUCUGGUUGGAUGGGCCAACAUCAGUUUUGACCGUUGGAGAAAGGCUUUGGGAAUGUGGCACCUUCGGGUGUGUUAUAGCCCUUUGUUGUAUACAACGGUUGGGAUUGAGGACUGCAGCACGCCUUUAUGGCCGGGGCUCGCCCACGUACGUGCUUAGGAUGUUGGCAUAAUGGCUUUAAGCGACCCGUCUG